UACGUAGGGGGCGAGCGUUGUCCGGAAUUAUUGGGCGUAAAGAGCUCGUAGGCGGUCGCGGAAGUCGGAUGUGAAAUAUCGGGGCUCAACCCCGGGACGUCGUUCGAUACUCCGCUGACUAGAGUCCGGUAGGGGAAGGUGGAAUUCCUGGUGUAGCGGUGAAAUGCACAGAUAUCAGGAGGAACACCGGUGGCGAAGGCGGCCUUCUGGGCCGGUACUGACGCUGAGGAGCGAAAGCUAGGGGAGCGAACAGG
RNAcentral lists this unclassified non-coding RNA (254 nucleotides) under uncultured Actinomycetes bacterium. RNAcentral's name for it is "uncultured actinobacterium contains 16S-23S intergenic spacer region". It matches the Rfam family "Bacterial small subunit ribosomal RNA", at positions 524 to 776 of the family's 1533-position model. The record is from RNAcentral. Lineage: Bacteria; Bacillati; Actinomycetota; Actinomycetes.